RNAcentral lists this ribosomal RNA (685 nucleotides) under Porites rus. RNAcentral describes it as "partial 12S ribosomal RNA". It matches the Rfam family "Bacterial small subunit ribosomal RNA", at positions 642 to 1491 of the family's 1533-position model. Lineage: Eukaryota; Metazoa; Cnidaria; Anthozoa; Scleractinia; Poritidae. The record is from RNAcentral. RNAcentral also lists the same sequence under 1 other name.
UUAUUUAAGAGAGUAAAUGGAAUUUUUCUGUAAUGGUGGUAUGUGUAAAUAGGAAAAAGAACUUUAGACGUGAAGACUAUUUACUUCUAAGAUUAUAAUGUAUUGGCUAAAACACGAGAGUGUGGGGAGCAAACAGGAUUAGGUACCCUGGUAGUCCAUACUGUAAAUAAUGAAAAAGAUGUGAAGCAAUUCUAAAAGGUAAGAACUUUUCCGCUUGAGUAGUACGAUCGCAAGAUUAAAAUUCAAAAAACUUGGCUGUUCACUGUUUUGAUUAGAGGAGCGUGUCGUUUAAUUCGAUAGUCCGCGAGAGACCUUACCCAAACUUGAAUCCCUCAUUGACAGGUAUUGCAUGGCCGUCGUCAAUUUGUGUAUUAAACAUAAAACAAAUUCAACCCAGUGGUUUGUCUAUUGGAUGAAGUCAGGUCUUAUUGUCCUAAUGUUUGGGGAUUAGAUGCGCUACAUUUUUUUAUACAAUGGGAAACUUUGAAUGUGAAACCCAAAAAUAAGAGUUCGGAAGGUGCCUGGAAUAUAACGGAAAGUUGGAUUUAAUAGUAAUUGAAAAGUAGAGCGUUUCAAUGAAAUUUAUUCAGUGUUAGUACAAAUUGCCCGUCGCCUUUGCUUAGAAAGGUUGUUUGGUUGCCCCUCAAGAGGGUUCCUAAUAUCUUCGAGGUAGAGUAAGUCGUAA